RNAcentral lists this ribosomal RNA (466 nucleotides) under uncultured bacterium. Its description in RNAcentral is "bacterial SSU rRNA". It matches the Rfam family "Bacterial small subunit ribosomal RNA", at positions 338 to 795 of the family's 1533-position model. The record is from RNAcentral.
CCUACGGGUUGCAGCAGCGGGGAAUAUUGCACAAUGGGCGCAAGCCUGAUGCAGCCAUGCCGCGUGUAUGAAGAAGGCCUUAGGGUUGUAAAGUACUUUCAGUUGGGAGGAAGGCGUUGAUGCUAAUAUCAUCAACGAUUGACGUUACCAACAGAAGAAGCACCGGCUAACUCCGUGCCAGCAGCCGCGGUAAUACGGAGGGUGCAAGCGUUAAUCGGAAUUACUGGGCGUAAAGCGCACGCAGGCGGUUGAUUAAGUUAGAUGUGAAAUCCCCGGGCUUAACCUGGGAAUGGCAUCUAAGACUGGUCAGCUAGAGUCUUGUAGAGGGGGGGUAGAAUUCCGUGUGUAGCAGUGAAAUGCGUGGAGAUGUGGAGGAAUACCGGUGGCGAAGGCGGCCCCCUGGACAAAGAUUGACGCUCAGGUGCGAAAGCGUGGGGAGCAAACAGGAUUAGAUACCCCAGUAGUC